RNAcentral lists this ribosomal RNA (250 nucleotides) under uncultured soil bacterium. RNAcentral's name for it is "partial 16S ribosomal RNA". It matches the Rfam family "Bacterial small subunit ribosomal RNA", at positions 26 to 287 of the family's 1533-position model. The record is from RNAcentral.
AGGACGAACGCUGGCGGCGUGCUUAACACAUGCAAGUCACGGGGGCUCGCAAGAGCAACCGGCGAACGGGUGCGUAACACGUGAGCAACCUACCGAUUUGUGGGGGAUAGCCGACCUAACGGCCGGGUAAUACCGCAUACGCUUUCCGGGUCUCCUGACCUGGGAAGGAAACCUCCGGGGCAAAUCGAGGGGCUCGCGGCCUAUCAGCUAGUUGGCGAGGUCACGGCUCACCAAGGCGACGACGGGUAGC